Molecule: ribosomal RNA, 483 nt
Filed under: uncultured bacterium
Lineage: Bacteria
Description: partial 16S ribosomal RNA
Rfam family: Bacterial small subunit ribosomal RNA
Source: RNAcentral
GACGAACGCUGGCGGCGUGCUUAACACAUGCAAGUCGAACGCUGAAGCUCAGCUUUUGUUGGGUGGAUGAGUGGCGAACGGGUGAGUAACACGUGAGUAACCUGCCUCCUUCUUUGGGAUAACGCCCGGAAACGGGUGCUAAUACUGGAUAUUCACUUGUCUUCGCAUGGGGGUUGGUGGAAAGGGUUUUUCUGGUGGGGGAUGGGCUCGCGGCCUAUCAGCUUGUUGGUGGGGUGAUGGCCUACCAAGGCUUUGACGGGUAGCCGGCCUGAGAGGGUGACCGGUCACAUUGGGACUGAGAUACGGCCCAGACUCCUACGGGAGGCAGCAGUGGGGAAUAUUGCACAAUGGGCGCAAGCCUGAUGCAGCGACGCCGCGUGAGGGAUGGAGGCCUUCGGGUUGUGAACCUCUUUCGCUCAUGGUCAAGCCGCAACAAUGGUUGUGGUGAGGGUAGUGGGUAAAGAAGCGCCGGCUAACUACGUG